UACGGGGGGAGCAAGCGUUGUUCGGAUUUACUGGGCGUAAAGGGCGCGUAGGCGGCCACCGCAAGUCGGUUGUGAAAUCUCUGGGCUUAACCCAGAAAGGUCAACCGAUACUGCGGGGCUAGAGUGCAGAAGGGGCAACUGGAAUUCUCGGUGUAGCGGUGAAAUGCGUAGAUAUCGAGAGGAACACCGGUGGCGAAGGCGGCAUCCUGGACCGAGAUUGACGCUGAUGCGCGAAAGCCAGGGGAGCAAACGGG
This 254-nucleotide ribosomal RNA is filed under the name uncultured bacterium. RNAcentral describes it as "partial 16S ribosomal RNA". It matches the Rfam family "Bacterial small subunit ribosomal RNA", at positions 524 to 776 of the family's 1533-position model. The record is from RNAcentral.